CUGGAAUCGCUAGUAAUCGCGGAUCAGAAUGCCGCGGUGAAUACGUUCCCGGGUCUUGUACACACCGCCCGUCACACCAUGGGAGUCGGAAAUGCCCGAAGUCUGUGACCCAACCUACGGGAGGGAGCAGCCGAAGGCAGGUCGGAUGACUGGGGUGAAGUCGUAACAAGGUAAC
This 175-nucleotide ribosomal RNA is filed under the name uncultured bacterium. Its description in RNAcentral is "partial 16S ribosomal RNA". It matches the Rfam family "Bacterial small subunit ribosomal RNA", at positions 1326 to 1500 of the family's 1533-position model. The record is from RNAcentral.